CUCUCCCCAGGCAAAAGAGAUUCGAAGCGUGGGGAGGAUUCUACACAAGGGAGAUUCUCUGUCCCUGGCUUUGAGGACACAGGGGACAACGGCAAGGAAUAGGAGAAGCAUCUCGUGGCUGAGAGCAGCCCCCAGCGGACAGCCAUCAGGGAUCUGAGGACUCAGUCCUAAAACCACAAGGAGCCGAGUUCUGCCAGUAACCGGACUUGAACCUGGACGUGGUUCGUUCCUCACCCCAGCCUCUAGAUCCCCGUGAGCCGGCCGUUACCUCGGUUACAAGGCCAUUACCUCCUUGUAAGGCAUCGAAAGAGAACCCACCCACACGAUGAUGGACCACUGAUGCUGUUUUAAUCCACUACAUAUCUGUUUGCCAUUUGUCACGUAGCAAACUAGUAGACGACCAGUAUGUCUCCUCCACUCAAAAUUCCGCAGCUGCCCCCCUCACUCUGAGCCGAGGGCAGCGCUACGCUGGCCUACAGGCCCGGAGGUGGGACCGCCCUGACCUCCACCCUCCUCAUCGCUCACUCAGCCCUUCACGGGCCUCUGUGCUGUCCCUCCACUGCACCGGGCCGGCCUGGAACUCUGCUCUGCCCGGCGUCUGCUUGGUCAACUUCCUCCCCUGCUUCGUCUUUGCGUGAGUCUCUCCCCCUCAUGCACCUGACAGGCACCGCAUCGGUGGGCCACGUGGACCAGCCUAUUCUUUGGCCCCUCCAGGCUCUGCUGCCUCGUCUCUCCCAUGGCGCUGAUCGGCACCAACAUCUGUGCUCCCCUACUCACGGGCUACCACCCACCUCCCUCCGCUAGAACAGAAGCUCCUCAAAGACAAGUGUCUUUGUCUUGUUCACAGACGAAUCCCGAGCACCUGGAACAGCGCCCUGGCAUACGGCAGGUGCUCGACAAGAAACCUGAGUCCAGAAACCCAAGCCCUGCAUCCCCGCUCUGUUAAGCUACUUAACUACCCGUUGCCUCGGUUUCCUCACCCAUGACGAAGAAUUACUUACCUAACUCUAUCAGCUUUCGGUGCAGGAUACAAAAACUACUCUACAAAUUUCGAGCAGAAAGGGAUCUAACUCAAGGGCUUGCGUGAUUUCAAAAUCUUCGUGAGGCCUCAAGUAGUUGGCUCUAAGCUGGGCCCCCAGGAACAGCUCCCCACACCGCGCCUGCGUCGAAGGUGCCAAAGAACCACGGGAUUCAAGAAUGCAGCAGGAUCAGGAAGCCACCACCACGGCCACCCCUUCCACCGCGGCUGCCUCUCAGCGGCCAGGAAAUGAAUACUCGGCUGAUGCUGGGACCCGAUUCCUGCCCAGAACCCCAGGCCCAAGACACACACUUCUAACCCUGGCCGCCACAGGAAGGAAGGCGGCCUGGACUGAAGGUGGCCUGGAGGAGGAGCGAGCCGGCCGGCGGGAUCUGCCUACCGCCCCGCCCCCCACCGUGCUCUCUCCCGUGAUGUGCCACAAGGCUGAGAACGGUACCGCGCAAGCUCCAGAGGCUGCCUGCUAUUCCCGCACAGGGGGUGCCGGCCGGCACAGGUUUCUCAAGUACGGCCGCCCUGCUGGGAAACUCACCUCUCAAAAGAGAAAGCAAGGACCCCACUCCUUCCUCAGCACGGCUCCCAAAUGAUCAGAUCCCCAAAGCCCGGGGCAGUACAGAACUAAAAAUUUAGUUCAACGCAUUCACCCCAAGUCAAGAUAUGCCUUAAAGAUUUGUUUUUCUUAAAACAAUGGUUUCACAUUUUUCCAUAUAGCAGGUCCCUAAAAAAGGAGAGACCUUACGCGAAACUCCGACAGAAGCAGAGAACAGGGCCAGAGAUGUGAUCUGCACACUGGGCUUCUGCUCUGUCCAGAGCUUCUCUCGCACGGCCUCACUGAAUUCUUAACAACCGCUCUUUAAGACAGGUGUGAUGAGCCACCCGGCACACACGGGGACCGCGGAGGCGAGGGGAGCUCCUGAGAUCACACAGGUCAAACCUGGGUCCCCUCGCCUCUAUUACAACUCAGGGGGUGCCAGGGCGAGCCAGGCGCAGACCUCGCCCCUAAGCGGCCCGCAGCCAGGUCGGGAGGCAGACCGGAAAAAGGCACCACUAUGGUUCUUUACGGGCAGCCUGAGGUCGCACCGCCCCAGCCGCCCCUCCUCCCCACGCCCUCUGCUUCCCCUGCCUCCGGUGCGGCCUGAGCAUCUCCCCCAGAUCACCUCCUCGGACAGCUUCGUAAAGGGCCGCCCAAAAGCAGCUGCAAGUGCUCAAAGCUGAUUACCACCUUCCGGGCCGGCGCAGAUUAGCAGCCUUGAACCCCUGGCUUCACAGAAAGAACGCUUCUCCUGCAGACAAGUGUGUUACUGACUUCCUCUCCCCUUGUCCGCCCAGGUGUCUAGAUAAGUACUGUUAAAACACAGCAGGCCCUCGGAAUCCCACAACAGUCCCUCCCUCCAAACGAGAUGAGGAUCCUCCUGAAGUUGUAUUGUAUUAGUGAAUUUCCUUCAAGGAGACGAACACCAACACUUACAACCCGUUAGCCCAGUGGUUCUCAACGGCUGGGUAACUUUGCCCACCACCCCCCCACCCCGCGCCUCCCCAGGACAUACGGCUAUGUCUGGCUGUCGUAACCGGGAAGCGCUCCUGGCACCUAGAGGGCAGAGGCCACGGAGAGCCAUCCAUCUCAAAGCGUCAACAGUGGAGAAAUCCCGAUUUAACUUUCUGAAUAACUUCUGAUUGAAGUAAGCACAACGUUAAGAGAAGAACUAAAGAAAA
Long non-coding RNA from Lynx canadensis (Canada lynx), 2749 nucleotides. RefSeq lists it as uncharacterized. The transcript has 2 exons. NCBI's taxonomy places the organism in Eukaryota, Metazoa, Chordata, Mammalia, Carnivora, Felidae. The record is from RefSeq and is a predicted model, not a curated record.